UACGUAGGGUGCGAGCGUUGUCCGGAAUUAUUGGGCGUAAAGGGCUCGUAGGCGGUUUGUCGCGUCGGGAGUGAAAACCCAGGGCUUAACCCUGGGCUGGCUUCCGAUACGGGCAGACUAGAGGUAUGCAGGGGAGAACGGAAUUCCUGGUGUAGCGGUGAAAUGCGCAGAUAUCAGGAGGAAGACCAGUGGCGAAGGCGGGUCUCUGGACAGUUCCUGACACUGAGGCACGAAGGCCAGGGGAGCAAACGGG
RNAcentral lists this ribosomal RNA (253 nucleotides) under uncultured bacterium. RNAcentral describes it as "partial 16S ribosomal RNA". It matches the Rfam family "Bacterial small subunit ribosomal RNA", at positions 524 to 776 of the family's 1533-position model. The record is from RNAcentral.